RNAcentral lists this ribosomal RNA (1685 nucleotides) under uncultured bacterium. RNAcentral describes it as "bacterial LSU rRNA". It matches the Rfam family "Bacterial large subunit ribosomal RNA", at positions 650 to 2407 of the family's 2925-position model. The record is from RNAcentral.
UCUUUUUGAAAAGAGAAGCCGAAGCGAAAGCGAGUCUGAACAGGGCGUCUAGUCAGUGGGGGUUGACGCGAAACUUGGUGAUCUAUCCCUGGCCAGGCUGAAGGGGUGGUAACACACCGUGGAGGGCCGAACCGAUAAGCGUUGAAAAGCUUCCGGAUGAGCUGGGGAUAGGGGUGAAAGGCCAAUCAAACUGAGAAAUAGCUCGUACUCUCCGAAAUGUUUUUAGGAACAGCGUUACGUGUUACUGUCUGUGAGGUAGAGCGACCAACAGGAUGCGGGGGAGUCACAUCCUACCAACUUCUGAUGAACUCCGAAUGCGCAGAGAGGUGCGUGGCAGUGAGGGCUUGGGUGCUAAGGUCCAAGUCCGAGAGGGGAACAACCCAGACCAUCAGCUAAGGUCCCUAAGUGUGUGCUAAGUUGAACAAAGGCGGUCCGGCUGCUGAGACAGCCAGGAGGUUAGCUUGGAAGCAGCUAUUCCUUUAAAGAGUGCGUAACAGCUCACUGGUCGAGCGGGGCGGGCGUCGAUAAUAAACGGGCAUCAAGCACAUCACCGAAGCUAUGGACCUAUACUUUGAGUAUAGUGUGGUAGGAGAGCAUUCUAACAUCAGUGAAGUUGAAGCGUGAGCUUUGGUGGAGAGGUUAGAAAAGCAAAUGUAGGCAUAAGUAACGAGAAUGAGGAUGAGAACUCCUCACACCGAAAAGCUAAGGUUUCCUCCGCGAUGGCAGUCAUCGGAGGGUUAGUCGGGGUCUAAGGAGCAGGCGAAUGCCGGGCUUUGAGGGGGAUUGGGUUAAUAUUCCCAAACUAUCUAUGCAGGGGUGCUCAUGACGGAGUGCUAGAGAUCUAGGUCCUGACGGAAUAGGGCGUUGAGCGGAGGCUUCGGCUGAAGCGAAGACGUUGACGGGGCUUCCAAGAAAAGUGAGUAGCCGUUAAGCGUAUGGAUACCCGUACCGUAAACCGACACAGGUAGCUGGGAAGAAUAUUCUAAGGUGCGCGAAAGAAUCAUGGUUAAGGAACUCGGCAAGAUUACCCUGUAACUUCGGGAUAAGGGGGGCCGUCUGGCAACAGCGGCUGCAGAGAAGAGGCCCAGGCGACUGUUUACCAAAAACACAGGACUCUGCCAAAAUGAAAGUUGACGCAUAGGGUCUGACACCUGCCCGGUGCUGGAAGGUUAAGGGGGGAGCUUAGGGGUAACUCGAAGGUUUGAACUGAAGCCCCAGUAAACGGCGGCCGUAACUAUAACGGUCCUAAGGUAGCGAAAUUCCUUGUCGGGUAAGUUCCGACCUGCACGAAUGGUGUAACGAUCUGGGCACUGUCUCAACCAUGAGUUCGGUGAAAUUGUAGUAGCGGUGAAGAUGCCGCUUACCCGCCACGGGACGGAAAGACCCCGUGCACCUUUACUACAGCUUAACAUGAUGCCGGUCAGUCAUGUGUAGGAUAGGCGGGAGGAGUUGAAGUGGCGUCGCCAGGCGUCGUGGAUCCAACCUUGAAAUACCGCCCUUGGCUUACUGGCGUUCUAACUGGGAACAGGACGUGUUUGGUGGGUAGUUUGACUGGGGUGGUCACCUCCGAAAGGGUAACGGAGGUUUCCCAAGGUUGGCUCAUACCGGACGGUAAUCGGUAGGGGAGUGCAAUAGCAGAAGCCAGCUUGACAGUGAGGCCUACAAGCCGAUCUGGGACGAAAGUC